This 409-nucleotide ribosomal RNA is filed under the name bacterium. Its description in RNAcentral is "partial 16S ribosomal RNA". It matches the Rfam family "Bacterial small subunit ribosomal RNA", at positions 355 to 776 of the family's 1533-position model. The record is from RNAcentral.
UGGGGAAUAUUGCACAAUGGGCGAAAGCCUGAUGCAGCGACGCCGCGUGAGGGAUGACGGCCUUCGGGUUGUAAACCUCUUUCAGCAGGGACGAAGCGCAAGUGACGGUACCUGCAGAAGAAGCACCGGCUAACUACGUGCCAGCAGCCGCGGUAAUACGUAGGGUGCAAGCGUUGUCCGGAAAUACUGGGCGUAAAGAGUUCGUAGGCGGUUUGUCGCGUCGUUUGUGAAAACCAGCAGCUCAACUGCUGGCUUGUAGGCGAUACGGGCAGACUUGAGUGCUGCAGGGGGGAGUGGAAUUCCUGGUGUAGCGGUGAAAUGCGCAGAUAUCAGGAGGAACACCGGUGGCGAAGGCGGGUCUCUGGGCAGUAACUGACGCUGAGGAACGAAAGCGUGGGUAGCGAACAGG